GGAGGCUGCAGGGACUUGCUGACAGGCCAUCCAAAGACAGAGAGGCCCUGGGGAGGGAAAUUCGGGGAGCCCGUGUGCUUAGCGUAGCGCCCCGGGAAAUAUUUGCCCAAUAAGGGAGAGUUUGUCCCCACACUGCGGCAGAACCCCCCUGCGAGCUCUGACCCCAGCAGCACGGCCAAGCCCCCCCAACCCCGCUCCCCCCUUUAGGGGACAGGUAUUUGUAAAUAACAACUGAGCUGGUCGUCGGUAGGAGAAUCAGAUUAGAAACAUGGUCCCCACUCUCUUCCUAUCUCCCCAGCACUCAUCACCUCACAAAGCAGGGGGGGACCUGUUUACUUUUCCUGGCGCUCUCCCCCAGGCUAGAACGUGAUCUUCUUCCUACGCAGGGACAGUGUUUUAUUCAUCUUUGUACCCACUGCCAUCUCAUCUGGCUUGGAACAGGCUCCGGAUAAAUAUUUUUUAAAUAUGUGCAUGAAUUAAUGAGAGACUCGAGAUUUAGUCCCCAAACUCUCUGACCUCCCUCGAGUGACUUUAAGCCUUUAGAGCCCUUAUCUGUUAAGAAAAAAAGAAAAAAAUGUGGGUUUUUCGUAAUCCUCGUAAUCCGCGCCCUGUCUACUUCUCUGGGGUUAUUGUGAAGAUCAAAUAAGGUACUGUGAAAUUGUGCAGGACAUUCACAGAUGAACAAGUCACAGGGCAAGUUGGACACAUCAAUAGCUCAUGCGUUGAUGUGGACCUAUGAUGGCUUCAGAGACUAUUAACUUGGCCAGGCUCAACUGCAUUUCCUGGAAUUAUCUUUCCUGCAUGUUUGCAGUUCAGAUGGACCACAGGGAAGAUUCUUGGAAGGUUCUUGCAAGAUUCAGAAGGCAAGAGAGGCUGCAGCCGUGUUUUGCAGUUGACACACGUUGCUGCUGAUCUGCUGACUCACCUCACUGGAGUGAAGCAGCCUGCCACAACACCCGCAACCUUCCCCGGCAACUUCUUGCUACUUUUCGACUCCCAGCCGCGUGUAUGUGUUCAGCUCUGUGAUGAAGGGCUAGGCUUCUGCAGGACAGCCUCACCACUGUGGUCAGAGGCAACAAGAAUAGCCACGGGCUUCAGGCUGCCAUCCUGGGGCUCUAGCUUGUGCUCGUGGGUUCUUGCUCUCCCUACUUGACAUCUGCCUUUCCUCUCGACUGCCUAUCCUGUGGACCUGACACCAGCAUCAGACUUGACACGCAGCCUGACAAAGACUGCUUACCCGGUUCCCACAAAUGCAUAAGCCAAUUCUCCAUAACAAAUCCCAUAAAAUAAUUUACAUGUAUAUAACUCCUAUUUCCACUUUUCCAGUUGAACUCCGGCAGAUUUACCCAUCCUGUGCUAGGCACUGUUGAGGACUCUGAGGAUACAAUGAUGAACAAAACCAGUGUAAUUCCUGUCUUCCUCUCCCCCACCCCACCAUUCACUUUCUAGGAGGAGGAAUCAGAAAAUAAACAACGAAUAAACAAUGCAA
This is a long non-coding RNA of Homo sapiens (human), 1489 nucleotides long. RefSeq lists it as uncharacterized. Lineage: Eukaryota; Metazoa; Chordata; Mammalia; Primates; Hominidae. The record is from RefSeq and is a predicted model, not a curated record. The transcript has 3 exons.